Molecule: ribosomal RNA, 633 nt
Filed under: uncultured beta proteobacterium
Lineage: Bacteria; Pseudomonadati; Pseudomonadota; Betaproteobacteria
Description: bacterial SSU rRNA
Rfam family: Bacterial small subunit ribosomal RNA
Source: RNAcentral
GAGUUUGAUCAUGGCUCAGAUUGAACGCUGGCGGAAUGCUUUACACAUGCAAGUCGAACGGCAGCACGGGUGCUUGCACCUGGUGGCGAGUGGCGAACGGGUGAGUAAUACAUAGGAACAUACCCAGUAAUGGGGGAUAACGCCGAGAAAUCGGUGCUAAUACCGCAUACGCCCUACGGGGGAAAGCGGGGGAUCUUCGGACCUCGCGUUAUUGGAUUGGCCUAUGUCUGAUUAGCUAGUUGGUGAGGUAAAGGCUCACCAAGGCUUCGAUCAGUAGCUGGUCUGAGAGGAUGAUCAGCCACACUGGAACUGAGACACGGUCCAGACUCCUACGGGAGGCAGCAGUGGGGAAUUUUGGACAAUGGGCGAAAGCCUGAUCCAGCCAUUCCGCGUGAGUGAAGAAGGCCUUCGGGUUGUAAAGCUCUUUCGGCAGGAACGAAAUGGUCACGGUUAAUAACUGUGACUUCUGACGGUACCUGAAGAAGAAGCACCGGCUAACUACGUGCCAGCAGCCGCGGUAAUACGUAGGGUGCGAGCGUUAAUCGGAAUUACUGGGCGUAAAGCGUGCGCAGGCGGUUUUGUAAGUCAGAUGUGAAAGCCCCGGGCUUAACCUGGGAAUGGUGUUUGAAACUA